UACGUAGGGUGCGAGCGUUGUCCGGAAUUAUUGGGCGUAAAGGGCGCGUAGGCGGCCUUGCAAGUGACGGGUGAAAUCCCUCGGCUUAACCGAGGAACUGCCUGUCAAACUGCAUGGCUUGAGACCGGGAGAGGUGAGUGGAAUUCCCAGUGUAGCGGUGAAAUGCGUAGAUAUUGGGAGGAACACCAGUGGCGAAGGCGACUCACUGGACCGGUACUGACGCUGAGGGACGAAAGCGUGGGGAGCAAACAGG
Molecule: ribosomal RNA, 253 nt
Filed under: uncultured bacterium
Lineage: Bacteria
Description: partial 16S ribosomal RNA
Rfam family: Bacterial small subunit ribosomal RNA
Source: RNAcentral